RNAcentral lists this ribosomal RNA (410 nucleotides) under uncultured Gemmata sp. RNAcentral describes it as "bacterial SSU rRNA". It matches the Rfam family "Bacterial small subunit ribosomal RNA", at positions 353 to 772 of the family's 1533-position model. Lineage: Bacteria; Pseudomonadati; Planctomycetota; Planctomycetia; Gemmatales; Gemmataceae. The record is from RNAcentral.
AGUCGAGAAUCUUCGGCAAUGAGCGCAAGCUUGACCGAGCGACGCCGCGUGCGGGAUGAAGGCCUUCGGGUUGUAAACCGCUUUGGUCCGAAAGAAAGGGUAAAACUUGAUCGAUCGGAGAAACAAGGACGGGCUAAGUUCGUGCCAGCAGCCGCGGUAAGACGAACCGUCCAAACGUUAUUCGGAAUCACUGGGCUUAAAGGGCGCGUAGGCGGCCGAGCGGGUCGUGGGUGAAAUCCCCCAGCUUAACUGGGGAACUGCUUACGAUACCACUGCGGCUCGAGGAAGGAAGGGGCAAUUGGAACUGUCGGUGGAGCGGUGAAAUGCGUUGAUAUCGACAGGAACGCCUGUGGCGAAAGCGCAUUGCUGGUCCUUUUCUGACGCUGAGGCGCGAAAGCCAGGGGAGCAAA